UUGAACGCUGGCGGUAUGCUUUACACAUGCAAGUCGAACGGGCUAUGGGGCUUGCUCCAUAGUUAGUGGCGAACGGGUGAGUAAUAUAUCGGAACAUAUCCGGAAGUGGGGGAUAACGUAGCGAAAGUUACGCUAAUACCGCAUAUGCCCUGAGGGGGAAAGGGGGGGAUCGCAAGACCUCUCGCUUUCGGAGUGGCCGAUAUCGGAUUAGCUAGUAGGUGAGGUAAAGGCUCACCUAGGCGACGAUCCGUAGCUGGUCUGAGAGGACGACCAGCCACACUGGAACUGAGACACGGCCCAGACUCCUACGGGAGGCAGCAGUGGGGAAUUUUGGACAAUGGGCGAAAGCCUGAUCCAGCCAUGCCGCGUGAGUGAAGAAGGCCUUCGGGUUGUAAAGCUCUUUCAGCCGGAAAGAAAUCGCGCAGGCUAAUACUCUGCGUGGAUGACGGUACCGGAAGAAGAAGCACCGGCUAACUACGU
This 480-nucleotide ribosomal RNA is filed under the name uncultured bacterium. Its description in RNAcentral is "bacterial SSU rRNA". It matches the Rfam family "Bacterial small subunit ribosomal RNA", at positions 30 to 506 of the family's 1533-position model. The record is from RNAcentral.